UGUAUUUUGUGGAACGGUGUGGGUAUAUUUUGUGUAACGGGGUGGGUAUAUUUUGUGGAACGUUGUGGGUAUAAUUUGUGGAACGUUCCAACAGGAAUGCGUUCCAAAAACUUCGUAAAUAUCAAUUUUGAUAACAAAAAACGCAUAUAAAGUCGUAUAGCGGUAAAAUGAGAUACCCUGUAGGGGGUGAGCUAUGUAAUUACGUUUUUCACUCACCACGUUUAUUUCGGGAAAAUGUCUCUCUUCAUUCUGGCAACCAAGAUGCUUGACUCACUACAGCUGCUUUUGAGGAACUUUCCAGUCGUUUGUGCUUUACAUUCCGACAUUACAUUCCGACUCUGUUUAUUGGAUAUAUAUAUUAGUGUCUAAUAAAAAUGAACAAUGUA
This is a long non-coding RNA of Oncorhynchus tshawytscha (Chinook salmon), 386 nucleotides long. RefSeq lists it as uncharacterized. NCBI's taxonomy places the organism in Eukaryota, Metazoa, Chordata, Actinopteri, Salmoniformes, Salmonidae. The transcript has 2 exons. The record is from RefSeq and is a predicted model, not a curated record.